UACGGAGGAUGCGAGCGUUAUCCGGAUUUAUUGGGUUUAAAGGGUGCGCAGGCGGAUUUUUAAGUCAGCGGUCAAAUCGUGGGGCUCAACCCCAUCCAGCCGUUGAAACUGGGGGCCUUGAGUGGGCGAGAAGAAGGCGGAAUGCGUGGUGUAGCGGUGAAAUGCAUAGAUAUCACGCAGAACCCCGAUUGCGAAGGCAGCCUUCCGGCGCCCUACUGACGCUGAGGCACGAAAGUGCGGGGAUCGAACAGG
This 252-nucleotide ribosomal RNA is filed under the name uncultured bacterium. RNAcentral's name for it is "partial 16S ribosomal RNA". It matches the Rfam family "Bacterial small subunit ribosomal RNA", at positions 524 to 776 of the family's 1533-position model. The record is from RNAcentral.